CCUGACGCAGCGACGCCGCGUGAGUGAAGAAGGCCUUUGGGUCGUAAAGCUCUGUCAACUGGGAAGAAGUUGUAUAUAUCCAAUAGGUAUAUGCAUUGACGGUACCAGUGGAGGAAGCGUCGGCUAACUCCGUGCCAGCAGCCGCGGUAACACGGGGGACGCAAGCGUUAUUCGGAAUUAUUGGGCGUAAAGGGCGUGUAGGCGGUCUUACCGGUCAGAUGUGAAAGCCCAGGGCUCAACCCUGGACGUGCAUUUGAAACAGUAAGACUUGAGUACUGGAGAGGAAAGCGGAAUUCCUGGUGUAGAGGUGAAAUUCGUAGAUAUCAGGAGGAACACCGAUGGCGAAGGCAGCUUUCUGGACAGAAACUGACGCUGAUGCGCGAAGGCGUGGGUAGCGAACAGGAUUAGAUACCCUGGUAGUCCACGCAGUAAACGAUGUACACUAGGUGUAGGAGAUAUUAAAAUUUUCUGUGCCGGAGUUAACGCAUUAAGUGUACCGCCUGGGGAGUACGGUCGCAAGACUAAAACUCAAAGGAAUUGACGG
RNAcentral lists this ribosomal RNA (544 nucleotides) under uncultured bacterium. RNAcentral describes it as "bacterial SSU rRNA". It matches the Rfam family "Bacterial small subunit ribosomal RNA", at positions 382 to 916 of the family's 1533-position model. The record is from RNAcentral.